RNAcentral lists this ribosomal RNA (2231 nucleotides) under Acinetobacter pittii. RNAcentral describes it as "bacterial LSU rRNA". It matches the Rfam family "Bacterial large subunit ribosomal RNA", at positions 699 to 2911 of the family's 2925-position model. The record is from RNAcentral. Lineage: Bacteria; Pseudomonadati; Pseudomonadota; Gammaproteobacteria; Moraxellales; Moraxellaceae.
GUUGCUGGGUAUAGACCCGAAACCAGGCGAUCUAUCCAUGAGCAGGUUGAAGGUUGGGUAACACUAACUGGAGGACCGAACCCACUGUCGUUGAAAAGCCAGGGGAUGACUUGUGGAUAGGGGUGAAAGGCUAAUCAAGCCUGGUGAUAGCUGGUUCUCCCCGAAAGCUAUUUAGGUAGCGCCUCGGACGAAUACCAUAGGGGGUAGAGCACUGUUUCGGCUAGGGGGUCAUCCCGACUUACCAAACCGAUGCAAACUCCGAAUACCUAUGAGUACUAUCCGGGAGACAGACUGCGGGUGCUAACGUCCGUAGUCAAGAGGAAAACAAUCCAGACCGCCAGCUAAGGCCCCAAAAUCAUAGUUAAGUGGGAAACGAUGUGGGAAGGCAUAGACAGCUAGGAGGUUGGCUUAGAAGCAGCCACCCUUUAAAGAAAGCGUAAUAGCUCACUAGUCGAGUCGGCCUGCGCGGAAGAUGUAACGGGGCUAAAACUAUGUGCCGAAGCUGCGGAUUUGACAUUAGUCAAGUGGUAGGGGAGCGUUCUGUAAGCCGAUGAAGGUGUAUUGAGAAGUAUGCUGGAGGUAUCAGAAGUGCGAAUGCUGACGUGAGUAACGACAAAACGGGUGAAAAACCCGUUCGCCGAAAGACCAAGGGUUCCAGUCCAACGUUAAUCGGGGCUGGGUGAGUCGACCCCUAAGGCGAGGCCGAAAGGCGUAGUCGAUGGGAAAUUGGUUAAUAUUCCAAUACUUCUGUGUAAUGCGAUGAGAGGACGGAGAAGGUUAAGUCAGCCUGGCGUUGGUUGUCCAGGUGGAAGGAUGUAGGUAUGUAUCUUAGGCAAAUCCGGGGUACUCUAUACUGAGAUCCGAUAGCAAGCUGUACUUGUACAGUGAAGUGGCUGAUACCAUGCUUCCAGGAAAAGUCUCUAAGCUUCAGUUACACAGGAAUCGUACCCGAAACCGACACAGGUGGUCAGGUCGAGUAGACCAAGGCGCUUGAGAGAACUCUGCUGAAGGAACUAGGCAAAAUGGUACCGUAACUUCGGGAGAAGGUACGCUGUUGUUGGUGAUGGAACUUGCUUCCUGAGCUGACGACAGCCGCAGAAACCAGGCCGCUGCAACUGUUUAUUAAAAACAUAGCACUCUGCAAACACGAAAGUGGACGUAUAGGGUGUGAUGCCUGCCCGGUGCUGGAAGGUUAAUUGAUGGGGUUAGCGUAAGCGAAGCUCUUGAUCGAAGCCCCAGUAAACGGCGGCCGUAACUAUAACGGUCCUAAGGUAGCGAAAUUCCUUGUCGGGUAAGUUCCGACCUGCACGAAUGGCAUAAUGAUGGCGGCGCUGUCUCCAGCAGAGGCUCAGUGAAAUCGAAAUCGCUGUGAAGAUGCAGUGUACCCGCGGCUAGACGGAAAGACCCCGUGAACCUUUACUGCAGCUUGACACUGAACUUUGACCUUACUUGUGUAGGAUAGGUGGGAGGCUUUGAAGUUGGAACGCUAGUUCCAAUGGAGCCGUCCUUGAAAUACCACCCUGGUAAUGUUGAGGUUCUAACUCUGUCCCGUUAUCCGGGACGAGGACCGUGUCUGGUGGGUAGUUUGACUGGGGCGGUCUCCUCCUAAAGAGUAACGGAGGAGUACGAAGGUGCGCUCAGCGUGGUCGGAAAUCACGCGUAGAGUAUAAAGGCAAAAGCGCGCUUAACUGCGAGACCCACAAGUCGAGCAGGUACGAAAGUAGGUCUUAGUGAUCCGGUGGUUCUGUAUGGAAGGGCCAUCGCUCAACGGAUAAAAGGUACUCUGGGGAUAACAGGCUGAUACCGCCCAAGAGUUCAUAUCGACGGCGGUGUUUGGCACCUCGAUGUCGGCUCAUCUCAUCCUGGGGCUGAAGCAGGUCCCAAGGGUAUGGCUGUUCGCCAUUUAAAGAGGUACGCGAGCUGGGUUUAGAACGUCGUGAGACAGUUCGGUCCCUAUCUACCGUGGGCGCUGGAAAUUUGAGAGGAUCUGCUCCUAGUACGAGAGGACCAGAGUGGACGAACCUCUGGUGUACCGGUUGUGACGCCAGUCGCAUCGCCGGGUAGCUAUGUUCGGAAGGGAUAACCGCUGAAAGCAUCUAAGCGGGAAGCCUACCUCAAGAUAAGAUUUCCCUAGGAAUUUAUUCCUCUAAAGAGCCGUUCGAGACUAGGACGUUGAUAGGUUGGAUGUGGAAGCAUAGUGAUAUGUGAAGCUGACCAAUACUAAUUGCUCG